ACUUCCGGUGAGAGUGGCGCACGGGUGCGUAACGCGUGAGCAACCUGCCCAUAUCAGGGGGAUAGCCCGGAGAAAUCCGGAUUAACACCGCAUGACACGCCGGGACGGCAUCGUUCCGGCGUCAAAUAUUCAUAGGAUAUGGAUGGGCUCGCGUGACAUUAGCUAGUUGGUGGGGUAACGGCCCACCAAGGCGACGAUGUCUAGGGGCUCUGAGAGGAGAAUCCCCCACACUGGUACUGAGACACGGACCAGACUCCUACGGGAGGCAGCAGUAAGGAAUAUUGGUCAAUGGGGGCAACCCUGAACCAGCCAUGCCGCGUGCAGGACGACUGCCCUAUGGGUUGUAAACUGCUUUUGCCGGGGAAUAAACCCCACUACGUGUAGUGGGCUGAACGUACCCGGAGAAUAAGGAUCGGCUAACUCCGUGCCAGCAGCCGCGGUAAUACGGAGGAUCCGAGCGUUAUCCGGAUUUAUUGGGUUUAAAGGGUGCGUAGGCGGCACUUUAAGUCAGGGGUGAAAGACGGCAGCUCAACUGUCGCAGUGCCCUUGAUACUGAAGUGCUUGAAUGCGGUUGAAGACGGCGGAAUGAGACAAGUAGCGGUGAAAUGCAUAGAUAUGUCUCAGAACACCGAUUGCGAAGGCAGCUGUCUAAGCCGUUAUUGACGCUGAUGCACGAAAGCGUGGGGAUCGAACAGGAUUAGAUACCCUG
Molecule: ribosomal RNA, 709 nt
Filed under: Sphingobacterium daejeonense
Lineage: Bacteria; Pseudomonadati; Bacteroidota; Sphingobacteriia; Sphingobacteriales; Sphingobacteriaceae
Description: bacterial SSU rRNA
Rfam family: Bacterial small subunit ribosomal RNA
Source: RNAcentral